UGGCUGCACAGGUGCGCACCUUAGAGGGAACUAUGCUCUGCACUACAGUUUUAUCAAUAAAUAUAAUAGUACAUCCCCCUAUCUUACAGGGAGGAUAAGUACCUGCAGUACUCAAAUACUAUGGUAACCAGGGCCAGCCAUGUGUGUAAUAGUUUUAGAUAGCUGGAUACAAACAUUUUUAUAGAACAGGUGAACAAAAGCUUCCUAGAAGUGGGGACCCACCAGUGCCCGAACUAUCUCCGCAUGACUCCUUGCACUAAGGGCCCCCUCUCCUCCGUUCACUCCUUUCUGCCUGCUCUCCCCUGUUGCUCAUCCUUACUGCCAGUAAAAAUUGAUGGGGCCAUGACUCCCUGUACCACCCUGUUCUGGUGCUCUGUUCUAGAGCUCUUACUGCAGAGGCAAUCAUACAUGAGGUUUUGGCCUCCAGGGCUGUCAUUUUGGCACCUUUCUCCAUCAUAAAAUUCAUUCAAAAAUUAGGAAAGGAGCUAAUUAGACACUUCCAUUGAUGCAGCAUAUCUUUGUUUAAAAAAAACCCACCUUUAUGUGAGAAGCAGAUUAAGGUACUUGAAGCCAAUUAGUUAAGCUUUAACAGAUGGAAGUGCUGCCCGUUUCCAUUUAAUUAAUAUGAACAUAUCAAUUCAAAAUCAUAUUUAAGUAAAGUCCAAGUGUUACAAUGGGUUUGUGCAGUAUCUGUCUGCCUUAUCGGACACGAUCCAGCUUUUGCUGCUGACUUCAUACUCAGCAUCCUGCACUAGCCCUAGAGGACCCUGCCUCACCCCUUUGCAGUUUUCAUUGCACUACAAUUUCCCUUAGCAAUCACUGGCAGCUGAAUUUUUCCUGUUAUUGCUCCUUAUGCAACUCACUUGGCUCUUCUGCCUAAGGCCAUAGGUUCUGCAUAACCACAUUCAGACCUGAAAUCUCAUCAAGUGACAUUUGUUACCCUACUAUCUGGACCUCUGCCUUAUUCCAAUCCCUUCCUUGCACCCCACAUAUCUCAUGCUGCUGCAGUAGGAAGGGAUUUGGAUAAUACAGCAGUUAUAUUAGAAUGGAGAUCUCCAAAAACAGUGUGAGGGACUUUCUGCAGCCCCACAUUCCUGCGUGGUGCAAACAGCAAGGAAGGCUGGGGGUGGGGGUAGAGAGUAGAGUCUUGGCCAGGGGUCUGUUCUCUAAUCUGCCUUGCACCUGCAGGGACUGGAUAUCACUGAGUGAGCAAGGCUGAGCAGAGACCACCCACCAAACUGCGAGAGGGAAGAGGAUAAGCAAAGCCACACUGCUGGAUAGUUCAGCAUCCACGCAUAUGACCCCUCUGGCCCUGCCAGGAGAUGACUCGCUUGACAGCAGUCUUCAUCUCUGAAGCAAAACCCACAAAAACCAACAAAAAGAACUUGAGAAAAAUGUUUUGUGACUAAGCUCUUCAUUUCCUGGUCUGUGUCAGGAUCCAUCACUGUAAGAUGGGCAUUUGUGAGGCUUCUCAGCAGAGAUUAGACGCCACCCUGCCGAUUAACAGAGAGCCCAGAGUUCUCCACCAGGAUGAGAAGAGUAGCCCAAGUCGACAGGAGAGCAGUCCCCACCAACCUAACAACACAGAAACACCAUGGUAAGUACGUUGAUUUCAGCUAUGCUAUUUGUGUAGCUGAAAUUACGUAGAUUAGAUUAAUGGGGGUGGAGGGUUAGUGCAGACAAGGCCUGUGUGCUGGUAUAAGUCACAGAAGUGUAAGUCAGUAGUGAAUCAGGCCCGCUGGUUGGACAUUAGGGACAAUUUUCUGACCAUUUGGAUAGUUAACUAGAACUAGAGAUUGUAGAAUCCCUAUAAUUGUUUUUAAGAACAGAUGGGCCAAAUACCUGUUAGAGAUGGUCUAUGUUUACUUGGUCCUGUCUCAGCAGGACUAAAUGACCUCUCAAGGUCCUUUCCAGCUUUAUGUUUCUCUUAUUCAACUUAUGUAUCAUCUAGAAGAACUCAUUGCUGGGAAACUUCUCAUACUGUGUCUCACAUGUUUCUUUGUUCAGUUUCUGCUCUUUGCUCCUAGUUCAGACCAGUUUGAAUUGUUCUGAACUAGUCCUCUCCCUCUGUGGUGUUUACGUCACUCAUAUCCUUUUGGGAGAGUUUUCCUAUUUGCCAGCAUAUAGACUGAUGAAAAUUAAACAUUAAAAGACAAACAGACCUAAACUAAUUCCCAAUCCACAGGGAAAAAAGUUUAUUUGCAGGAUGAAUUUAACUGGCCUAUGAUGUUGUGUCUCUUUUUUGUUAUCUGUUUAUUAUUUCUUUUUUACAUACCUCCAGGAACUAGUCUGCUUGUGUACUUCUAUUUUUAGCUCUGCUUUUAUCUACAAGCUUUUCUUUCUAAACCGGUAUGAUGCAGACAAGGAAAGAUCUACAUUUCUAUAGGCAGCUUUUUUAUUCCAUUGACAAGUUGCAUGUUUUGAGUCCAUUGACAAGUUUCAGAGGGAUGUGUGCUCUCUUAGAGUUCAGGAUAUUUAGCUCUAGAGCUUCCUUCGGGGCUCACACCAUUGCAGGUUUCCUGUUUUGUGCAUGACACAAUGA
Molecule: non-coding RNA, 2542 nt
Organism: Pelodiscus sinensis (Chinese soft-shelled turtle)
Lineage: Eukaryota; Metazoa; Chordata; Testudines; Trionychidae
Source: RefSeq, a predicted model, not a curated record